AAAGGCUGAGUUUUUUAAGCCCCUCCCCCACUUCUGAACAGAGGUGGAGCCUGAGACACAAUAGGGUUUAAUCACUCAUGUGGUCAGAGUUGAGAGCCAAGCUUCUCUCACAUGAGAGAGACGGAGAGAAAGUGUGUGUGUGCGUGUAAGCGUGCGCGUUCGUGCGUGUGUGUGUGUGUGAGUGUGUAGAGCGGACUUCAUCUCACGCUGAGUCGCAGUUACACGAGAUUGACGGGAAAACCCUGGCACAGGGUCAGACUGCAGCUGGAAAAAUCCACAGAGAUUCAAAAGCAACCCGGACCUUCAUCAUCAGCCUCAUCGUCUUCCUCAUCCAGGCUGGAUCAUGGCUGCGUGCGUCGGGCUGCGUUACUCUUCUUAGCACACAGAGAGUGUUUGAGUGGAAAUCAGAAGAGAACAGAGGAGCAUCAUGAUCUCUCACUACCCCUGGCAUCUCUGCUCCCGUGGCCACCACUGCCCCUCUGCCUGGAGCUGGACGCUGAGGGAGGAGUGGCACUGCAGAGAUACCAACCACGAUCACCUGACAGCAGCCCUCGACACUGGAAAGCGUAAACAUCUCUAUCCUGAAGACUGUGACUGUUACUAAAGUGCUGACACUGGAGACUCCUUCCAAAACACGUUAAAUAAACAUCUCCUAAAAAAAAAAAAAACAAACAACAAAAAAACGCCCCCACCUCCGUUCAACGAUCGUCCGUUUGUCUUUUGUUAAACCACAACAUCUAAAUGAUCUAAAUGUAUCGUUCGCUUUAGAUUACACGUCCCUGUGAAUGAGCUGUUACUAUAGAAACGAUAACGUCAUAACAUAACGAGCGCUUUAAUAUCGAAACCUGGCGUUCGUGCUAAUGCGCGCCUUCCGACCAAUCGGAUUCGAGAAUUCAGCUGCACUGCACCGGGGUAUAAUAAUCCUGGACACCAGGUGUAGAGAGGAGCUGAUUGGUCUGCAUGUAUGGAAGGAGUCUCCAGUGUCAGAGGCAGGGCCGUGAGUAAGCCCGUGAGUAAGCAGGACAGGACGGCACGUCGGCGUACGUCUCUUCGGCGUUGAUUAUUUUACUCUAACAGAUUGGCGCUGAGGGUUAUAUUCCUUACACGCACUACCGGUCGAAAGUUUGUGGACACCCGACUGAAACGUUUCCUGAAAAGCAGCCGAUGAGAGUCCGGCGUCGGUGGGAACUCCUUUAAUACUGUUUAAAA
Ictalurus punctatus (channel catfish) is the source of this 1209-nucleotide long non-coding RNA. NCBI's taxonomy places the organism in Eukaryota, Metazoa, Chordata, Actinopteri, Siluriformes, Ictaluridae. The record is from Ensembl.